Molecule: long non-coding RNA, 470 nt
Filed under: Salvator merianae (Argentine black and white tegu)
Lineage: Eukaryota; Metazoa; Chordata; Lepidosauria; Squamata; Teiidae
Description: lncRNA (ENSSMRG00000014454.1)
Source: RNAcentral
AUGGCAUCAGAUCAAGUUGUGCAGCAGGAGAGCAGCUCUUCUUCGGUGCUUCACCUGAUCCCUGAUCAAGUACAGAACAGGAAGAUCCCGCCGCUUUGCNGUUGCCUGAUCCCGGCAGGAGCUCUCCUCCAAGCCAAGUUCCAUUCAAAGAAAUCUCCCCUCACUUCGCCCCGUUCCCCUCCCCACCCCUCUCGGCGUUUCCCAUUGUUAAGCAGCAGUUUUGAACUUGAGGACCGAACGCCGGGCAAGGACUUGGGGAGGAGAAAAGAUGAGUUGGAGACGGGGCGGUGGGGGAAGAGAAAUGCAGGCUGGCCGCAUCAUCUAGUCUGCUGAAGAGAUCCAGUGAAGACCCCCCUGGCCCCCUUUCCCUCUGGCAGGUNUUGGGGCUGAAAUCUUCUCUCCCUCCCCAGCAUAUUUGCCACUGCUUGCCCAUCACUGUGGGGGCCGAGAGGAGUUUGACAGCUCUUUGU